RNAcentral lists this ribosomal RNA (292 nucleotides) under uncultured bacterium. RNAcentral's name for it is "partial 16S ribosomal RNA". It matches the Rfam family "Bacterial small subunit ribosomal RNA", at positions 505 to 796 of the family's 1533-position model. The record is from RNAcentral.
GUGUCAGCAGCCGCGGUAAUACGGAGGGUGCGAGCGUUGUCCGGAAUCACUGGGCGUAAAGGGCGCGUAGGCGGCUCCAUAAGCGGGCGGUGAAAGCCCGGGGCUCAACCCCGGGUCGGCCGUGCGGACUGUGGGGCUGGAGCACUGUAGAGGCGGGUGGAAUUCCGGGUGUAGCGGUGGAAUGCGUAGAGAUCCGGAAGAACACCGGUGGCGAAGGCGGCCCGCUGGGCAGUGGCUGACGCUGAGGCGCGACAGCGUGGGGAGCAAACAGGAUUAGAUACCCCAGUAGUCC